Molecule: long non-coding RNA, 16329 nt
Filed under: Chlamydomonas reinhardtii
Lineage: Eukaryota; Viridiplantae; Chlorophyta; Chlorophyceae; Chlamydomonadales; Chlamydomonadaceae
Description: long non-coding RNA (CREI_LNC000843)
Source: RNAcentral
AGGUAUGCACCUGGCAUACCUUUGUUUGGGUGGUUGUAAAGCACACACCACACACCACCCAACAGCUGCCAGUUUCAGCGUUGCACUUUUUGCACUGAGCCCCCGGAGCAAAGCACACCCCUGUCUGUGCAUGCUGCCUGCAACCUGCAGCAGCCCACAAUGCAUGUGCAAACAGCAGUCAGAGAAGUACACAAGGGCAGGCUGGUUGCAGAGGCAGUGUAUGAAAUGACUUUACUACAUGUCUUAUCCUUACGAGGCAUAGUAUGUCAAUGACAAGCAGCAUGCCACAAGAAUACUAAAAGUUUAUGCUACACCUGAACCACCAAGCCUGCCUAAAUGUGUUGCAGCACGGGGUCCCACGCCCAAGGAUUGGCUAGCCGCUUGCAGUGCUGCGGAGGAUGGGAAUAUGUGCCUUAGGGUAACAAGGACUCAUGUGUGGAAUGUUGUUGUGGCUGAGUUGUCAACAUGGCAAAGCUGGGGACAAGGUGUGGUGGUGCCAUGGGCAUGGUGUUGGCAUGCUUCCCAGCCCCUCACAGCCCUUGCCACACCCACUGCCCUGGGCUUGCAAGGGUGAUGUUCAUAUCACUGUUACCCAUCAUCACACCCCUUGCUCUAUCCUGGGCUGAGCCCAUUUUCCAGCUGAUAUCAAACUGAUACCCCUUGUUUGUUGCAACUCUUGGGCAUCUGCAUGAUUGUCACUUGAUAACUCAAUUUUACAAAAUUGAAUGUGUGACUCUCCUCACACAGGUGGCUCCUGGUGGGCUCAUCUAUGUUGAUGAUUAUGGCUCCUUCAAUGGUUGCAAGGUUGCUGUGGACAAGUACAGGAGCAUGCACAGAAUCGCAGCACCACUGCACUGGAUUCGUGAGCCUGGUAACUAUGUUGAGGCUGUGUGGUGGCGCAAGGACUAUGAAAUACAGUAUAUGCAGGAUUAAAAGGUACCUCUGCAUUAUUGGAAGGAGCCCUUAAAUGUCAGUGUAUGCCGUGAUGUAUGCAGCUUUCCGGCAAAUGAACUUCGUUCAUUUGUGUGUGCUGCUCUCGGAUGGUAGAAGGGCAGCGGGAUGCAUGAUGAGGGGCAGGAGGCAAACGUCACAGCAGGGGCAAGCAGGGUGUGUGUGACUGUUUGACUGUCGACCGCGGUGACGGGGAACAAGCUCUGAAGGUUGCCAUAGCGCGGGAUAGCUGUCAGGCGACUCUGCUGCAGGGUCAUGUUGGUGUUUGCCGAGCGCUUGCAAGCCAUGGCUAGACAUUCCCGCAUGCUGUUUGAUACUUUUAAAAUGUAUUGUAUGCAACAUGUUUACAUGAAAUGUUUGGACUGUGCCAUGAACGCGGCGGAUGCAGGUGCAGGUGUUUGGGGCUGCAUGUGUGCGUGCUGGUGCAGGUGCAGGUGCUGUAACAAGCAGAGACUCGACAUGCACCUUUUGUGCCUUUGGGGUUAUGACAGCUCCCAGGGUCCUUUACUGUACAGAUAACACAGCACAACAUUGCUCACCCGAGCUUGCAAUAUGGAUAUAAAUAACUGCCACUCGAAUCCACCUGUACAGUGGUGAGCCUAUUUUUGGGCUGAGCCCCCUGAGUGAAGCGAUCCAGGGGGGGCAAUCCAGGCAUCCUGCUCGGUAUCAGGCGGUUUUCGGGCUGUUAGCUCCUGUAGCUGUAGCUGGGCUUGCGGUGUUGGGCUGGCAUGCGAUGAUAUAGCUGGGCCAUAAGUGGUUGACUUUUUUUUGAUUGGUCCCCCCCCCCCAGGAUUGCACCUGUCCGUGCCUGCCUGCCUGCCUGCCUACGUCGACAAAAAGCGCCAAACUGGCACAAACCGCGAGCACCAUGUAUUAAAUGAAAAAUAGGCAGCAGGGAAAACUUGGCCGUAGCAAGAAGCGACCUCGCGAGUCCAUACUUUCUUCAGUCCACGAGUAAGUGCGAGUACAGCUCUCGGGCCCUGAAUAUCUUACAUCCAUGUACCGUACGUUUAGCUUUUGUUGUUGGUUACAAGGUGGUGUGCACGAGCAUGCGUGCUAUCCUGUCCCUGUACCAGUGGCCCGGGCCGGUGGGCCCUUAUAACGCCGGGAAACUUACUUUGUGCAACGAAGUUAGGCAUGUUCGACUGUACUACUCAAUGCCAACUACGUCAACUGCUAGCCCGUCAGCCUAGGUGAUUAGGUGCCUUGGCACCGAAUGCCCGCCCCUCCCUUCCAUGGGGGCUUCAGCCCUGCUGCUCAAAACCCUUCGAAAGCUCCAAGUUGCUCCUUGCGCAGUGCACACCCUACGGACGUCAGGUAAGGCGCCACCACCACACCUGUGCUGCGGACCAGGCGUGCGGCCCUGAUCAAUGCGCUGCGUUCCUGGGGCGUCACCAUCACCACGACGUUCCACACCUCCUGCCCUGCCGAUUGCCACGCACGGACAUAGCGUCCGCUCACCGAUGUUUAGCUGAUCACCACGCACCCCUGCAAACAAGGGGUGUCAGCUUUGUACAGCUGGAAAAAGGGCUGAGCCCCGGCGGAAGUAACGGGAUGUGCGGGCACGCAUGGUGGCCGCGUGUGAACCCUGCACAAAGCGGGGAACCGGGGGGAGGGGCCAUGGGCCGCGUUGCACCGCGUGAACUUCUCAUUUUGCAGCGCAUUCUCGCUUGCUUGUGCACAUUUGCAAUUUUAAUUCAUAUGCCAAUUCGAUGUGUCACUGCUUAGUCGCAGCCGAGAGUCCCGGGGACCUUUGCAUCGGCGCACAAGUGCGUGUCCAUUACAUUCGCUGGGGCACCCGCGUGUCCGUGCCCCCCAAUCCACGUCUGACUUCACACGACUUCUCCAGCUGCCUUCUGCAUCCAGCUGCCUUAUGGUCCCAUCAUUGCCCAUCCUCGUCCCUGCCUCUCACCCGCCGUCACGCCGUCACGCUGUCCAUUCUACAUUGGCCCUCUACUACUGCAUGUCACCGCCUGCUCCAGCUGCCGCCUGCUGCACCGCCGCCGCCUGCUCUAACGCCGCCGCCUGCUCCAUGAGGUCCUUGAUGUUCACGUGCGCCCCAAUGGCGUAGUCGGCAGCCAUCUUGGCGCAGAUCCCGGAAGAUAUGGGGCCCAGGCAGGUGCUGAGCACCUGCUCCUGGUCUGCUGCGCUGAUAUCCCAAACGUGGUCGAGCUGCAGCUGCCCUGCGCUGAUGCCGGCCCGUACCAGCUGCACCAGCUGGCCCCAGUAGUUGGGCCGGCGGAACGGAAAGGCCUCCCUGGCCACGCCCGGCGGCAGCAGCGCGUCCACGAUCAGCGGCAUAUAAAGUCACGAGUGCGACACAUUCGUUCCGUGCACGCGCAGCAGGAGCCGCGACCAGGUCGUGAAGUCAUACGGCGGAUCAUCCCAUGCGACUGCUGCGGCGUUGUAGCCAGGGAACAGCGUGCCGGAAGCCAGCGUGCCACUGUUGCCUGCAGUAGCGCCACGCCUCCGGCCCCGCCGGACAUGAGUGUUGCCCUGGCGACCCCCGCCCCCUGCCACUGCCUCCUGCAACAGGCGCAGCCGCGGCCACUGCAGCUGGAGCCAUGGCGGGAUCACCGGUGCGUGUGCGCCGCGCAGGCCGCUGGUCCGCACCGCCGUCCCCAGCAUCAGGCUCAUCACGCGGGCGCCUGUGGCCGGCCACCUGGGUCACUUGCCCGCCGCCGCGCCCACCGCCGUGCCCGCCGCCGCGCCCGCCUUGCCGCCCUCCGCCGCGCCCGCCUUGCCGCCCUCCGCCGCUCCCUCCGCCGCCGCGCCCGCCGCCGCGUGCCGCCCUCCCACGCGCCCCGGCAGCAGCUGCCAGUGCCGGCACCACCGCACCAGCCUGCUCAGCCGCGUCCGCAACAGCCGCCCCUGGGGCUUCGGCCUGUGCACUGAUUUGGCGCACGCGCGCGCGCUCCCAGGCAGCUGCCUCUGCCGCCGGUGGCAGUCGUGCCGCUGCUGGGUGCGUCUGGUAGAUGGAGAGCAGGAUGCUGGUCGCGGUGCGCGGAGCCGCUGCAGGCACCUCGGCAGUAGCCUCCACAGCCUCGCCACCCACAGCAACCGCCGCCGCUGCCGCCGCCAUCCCACCGCCACCGUCCACUGCCACAGCGACGCCGCCAUCGUGCGCACCCCUGCACCCCCUGCCGCCGCUGCCACCGUACCAACGCCCGCCGCGUUAUCAGCAGCACGAGCUUCGUCGGCGGCGGCGAUGGCGGCAGCAGUGGGCGCGACCGCCGCCUCCGCCUGCGCGUCUGCUGCGGCCUGCUCCUGCCGGAAGAGGGCAGACUUGGCGCGCAGCCGCUCGUACUCGGCACCGAUUUGUGCGCUGACCUUCUCCAGGCUGGUGCUGGUGAAGCUGGACAGUGCCACGCCUGCAAGCGAGCGCACGCGGCUGAGUGCGACGUAGGCCUGGCCGUCGUCGAAGACGGACUUGCCCAGGUUGAUGACGGCCUUCUGCAGCGACAGGCCCUGCGUCUUGUGGAUGGUAAGCGCCCAGCAGAGCGCCAGCGGCUGUAGAAGCGGCUGGUGGCCCUGGCAAUGGCCACAGGGGCGCUCGCUGGCUCUGGCUGCCGUCGCACCGCUGCCGCGCGCGCCCGCUCCAGGCGCCCCACGUCGGGGUCGUCAAACUGCACCAGCACCGCAGACACGGCCCCCUGGCUGAACUCGAAGCCCGUGACGCUGCCCUGCGCUCCGUUGACCAGCCCGUCCAGCGUGUGCACGUUGCGGCGCAGCAUGACGCGCGCGCCGACGGCAAGCUUGACAUGCGCACCCAGCCCUCCGCACAUGUCGGCUGAGGUGGGCACGUCGCCAGCUUGGAUGUCCUCACCCGGCUGCCCCGGCUCCGGCACUAGCUGGUCCUGAGCUGUGAUGUCGUACAGAAGAACGCCCGGGCUGCUCACGAGCUCACUCAGGCGAGCGUUGUUGUACGCCUCGACGUCUGCUGUGAGCGAGAGGAGAUGGGGGGGCGUUUGCAAAGUCGGCAUCCAGCGCCUUGCCGCCGCUGGACACAGAGGCCAGCAGUCGCUCCUUCACGAUGGCGCACGCGAGCUCCCACGCCCGCAGGUCCUCCGGGCUGCCGGUGCGCACGCCGAGCCGCAGCACGUUUAGGACAGCGGCCCACAGCGGGUCGCCUGCCUGCCGCUGGUUCUGCGUGAGCUCGAACAUGUGAAACAGCUCACAGAACAUGGCGGCGCCGUCGCGCGCGUCGGCGCAGGCCCUGCGCCCGCUGGAGCCCUGCCCGUCGAAGACGAAGGUGGCCUUCACCGGCGGCAGCUGCAAACAGAGGGCGCGGUGAUGGCGAGGGUGUCAGUGCUGGGAAGUUGCAGGCGGGGACGUUGCAGGUAGCAGAUUCGUCGUCCUCGCCCUCGCCGGGUCCUCCGCCACACAUUACUGGACAUGGCGGAGGGUGCCGCCCAGGCCCGCGCUCACCUGGUAGAAAUCACCCAGCACGAUGAGGUUGAUGCCGCCGAACGGCCAGUGCUCGGGCGUGCCCAUGAUCUCUACGAGGCGGCGGUGGAUGUGCCACAGCGUUGCAGCAGAGACCAUGGAGAUCUCGUCCACGAUCAGGUAGCGCACACAAGCCCAGAUCUGACGCAGCUCCUGGAGCCGGUUGGCGGACAGCGGCUCCCAGUGCACGCGCCUUGCCCCUGGGGGGAUGAGACAUGUGUAAGGGGUCGGCUGUGAUGAACAGGCGCAGGGGCUGGGGUUGCGCUAUGUGGAGCGAGGUGGCCCAGGGAGCAUCGGCGCAGCCCCGCCGCAUAGGACAGAAGUUGCGCACCUGACUCUCGGCAGUCCUCCACAGGCAGGCCCAGCGCGCGGUGGAUGGUGGAGCCGCGGAUGUUGAAGGCCGCCACGCCGGUCGGCGCGGUCAGGACGACCGGCUUACCCUCCAGGUGCGUCCGGCGCAGCAUCUCCGUGACCAGCUUGAUCAGGAAAGACUUGCCGGUGCCACCGCCGCCAGUCACGAACUCCAGCAGCUGACGAGGCGGGUCCUGCCCAGCGCGCGCCGCCUCCGCGGUUGCGUGCACGUGCCGGAACACUGCAGUGAACACCGCGCGCUGUUCAGGGCUCAACGCCUGCCGGCCGGCGUCGUAGGCCUCGCGCGUCAUGCGCGCGCCAGCCGCCAGCACAGGCAUGUCUCGCCCUGCAGCCGCAGCAGCCUGUGCGGCCACUGCGGCGCCGUCGUCGCCGCCACCAGCGCCGCCCUCCCUUUCGUCUCCCCCGUCCUCGCCACCGCCUCCGCCACCGCCGCCAUCAGCACCAUGGCCUCCGCCGCCGCCGCCGCCAUCGGCGUCGAGCUCCUGGUCAACAGCGGCUCGAACGUGUGCCGGCAGCAGCUCCGGGUCGUAAUACAGCGCCGUCGUGUCAUCCUGUGCUGCUGCCUCCCCCGCGUCGGGAUCCGCGUGGACCUGGUCUAGCACCAGGCCGCCAGCCUCCUCGUCCAACGCGCGCAGUCGCUCCACCUCCGCCUCUAGCGCGUCGGCGGCGGGGCCUGGGCGCACCGCAGACACGAACGCGGGGUUGCGCAUGGCGGCACGGAAGGCGUCCAGCGCGCUGCCAAAGCCUGCUGUCAACGCCGCCUCGCUCCGCCACGGCUUGUGCAGGAACAGCUGCGCCCAGUAGUGCUUGUCGCCGUGGCUGUCCGCGGUCGUGCGCGGGUAGCAGCGCAGGACCGCCGGCUUGAUGGGGCGGCGCUUGACGUAGAGCCGGAGUUGCUGGGGGCAGCUGCCAUCGAACGGGGCGCUGAGCAUGACCGAGUCCCUGGUCUGCGCGCGGCUGACGCUGAAGUCGGACAGGAACAUGAAGACGCUGACGUCCUCCCAGCUGGCAGGCAGUGCGCUGCCGGGCAUCACCUCUGGCCCAGUCUCCUGGUGGGCAUUGUGGGCGAGGAGCGCCUCAAUGCGUGCUGCACGCGAAGCCCCGGCAGCGGGCGGCGUUGGGCCGGCAGCUGCGGCGAUGUUGCCCGUGCCUCCGCUCGUGCCGCCGCCAACACCGGCAGCAGCAUCCGCGUGGGCAGCAGGCUGGUCCCGGGCAGCCGCCACCACCGCCUCCGCCUCCAUCUCCGCCGGCACUGCCGCCGCCGCCACCGCCUCCGCCGGUACAGCCGCCACUGCCGGUGCGCCCGCCUCCAUGGCGCCCGCGGCACCGGCAUCCGCCGCGACGGCGGCCCGCUGGUGGCAGUGGGGGCAGAACCAGUGGCCUUUCGGCGCCUCCUCCAGUGGGGGGGCCAGGCAGCGGCCGUGGUAGCCGUAGGCGCAGUUCGCGGUGGAGCACAGCAGCAUGAAGUUGGCGCCUGCGUCCGCGUCGGUGCUGUGGCACACCUCGCACGCGGUGUCCGCCUCCUCGUCGUGCGCUGCAGCAAGUGGUCUGCGCAGUGCCCGCGCGGCGCCAAGCGCGCCGGUCGAGCCCACAGGCCGCGCCGCGUAGUAGUCGUACUGGUUGGUGGCCAGCUGGACGGGGCGCUCGCCAUCGGCAGUGGCCGCGAAGGCGUUGCGUGCCGCGAUGCCGGGGCUGUCCUCCUUGGGCCUGGCGCACACCUUGACGGUGGAACGGCUGCUGCAUCGGAGGUUGAGCGUGGACCCGAUGAGCAGCCACGCCGCCUCCUGCAUGGAGUACUCGCGCUUGCUCAGCUGCGCAGUGCAGGCGCGGCGUAGGACUGUCGCGGUCGGUGCGUCCUCGGGCAUGCCCGCGACCGCCUCCUGCACCGUCUUCCGCGUGCCGUCGGUCUCCGCCUUGGUCAGGUAGGCAGUGACGUAGGCAGCGGCACCGGCGGCGUUGCCGACAUACUGCAGGUCCAUGUUGGCACCCCACAGGCACAGCAGCGCCGGCGAGUACGGGACGAUGCUGCCAUCACCAUGACCGCGGGCAAUGAUGUAGGUGUCGCCGCGCCGCAGCCUGCGGUCGCCGUCCUGCCGCAGCCGCGUGGCCUCGCAGGGGUCCUUGUCGUAGAGGAAGCGACAGGGGCCGUCCAAGCCGCCGCAGGUGAAGGUGUGGCGGUGCACCUGGUAGCGCUUCACCAGGUCGUGCAGCACGGGGUGGGUAGCUCGGUCGGGCAGCUUGGCGGACACGUAGCGGUCGAUGAAGGCAGGGGCGGCGGCCAUACCCUCAACGGUGUCUAUGUUGGGCGCGCCGCGCACCCACAGCAGCAUGUGGAUGUGGGGCGAGCCGCGCCGCUGCAGUUGUAUGUGUGUGUGUGUGUGUGGGGGGUGCACAUGAGUGCGCUGUGCCUAAAUUCAAUCGUAGGAACAGCAUGGCGUGUCUCUUGCACUGCGCUGCACUGCCAACUCAUGCGCACCAGGUCCCUGCUGCGGCUCUAAUCAGGCAAUAGUGUUGGUGCGGCACCCACCUGGAACUCCAACGCGCCAGAAGAAGUCCUGAACCUCGCCCAGGUAGUCAGGACACUCGAUCAUGGCCUUGAGCAGCGUCUCGAAGCGGUGGUUGAAGUGACGCGCCACGGUGACCUGGCAAGGCGGGGAUGGGCAGGAAGGUGGCGAGUGCGGUUUCACUCGAUUGAGUGGGGGCAGGUGGGGUUGAAGGACACGUGCUGGUGCCCGUGCUUUGACCCAGGCCGCGCAACCCGGGCGCCCCGCAUGCAACCUCUCUCACCUGGUUCUCGCGGAUGAGCUGGUACAUCUCGCUUCGGCUGACGCUGUCCAACAGCGCAUCUCGCCGCUGCUCCUCCGUUGCGCUGCCGUACGCCGCCUCGCUCAGCGCCUCACGAGCGCUAGCCUCUCGCUGUACCGAUGUUGCGUGGUUGUACGCAGCCUCGCCAAGCGCCUGCCGUGCGCUAGCCUCGCGCUGGGCCGCCGUUGCGCUUAGGAACGCCGCCUCGCCCAGCGCCUGCCGCGCACUGUCAUCCCGCUGCACUGGAGAUGCGUCCAUGAACGCGGCUGCGCCAAGCACCGCACGCGCGCUGGCUGCACGCUCGGGCGGCGUCGCUCGGUCGUACGCCGCUGCGCCCAGCGCCUCCUUGGCGCGACGUGCCCGCUCGCCGGGCGUGUGCAUGAGCGCGAGCACGAGGUCAUCCCAGCCCAGCUCGUUGGCGGAGAGCGUUAGGAACCAGGUGGGCGGGCCAUGGCGAAGAGGUCGGAGGCGGCGUCAGCCCAGUAGGCAGGGGUGCCUCGGAUGUUGCUGAGGAUGGCGCGGGCAGUGGCUUCGAUGUUGCCAAAGUCAUCAGCACCCGCCGCCGCCUCGUUCUCCUCCUCCUCCUCCUGCUGGCCAGGCGCCGCCCGAGUACAGGUUCCACCGCCCGGGCCUGCCGCCAGCCAGCAGAGCAGCGGCUGGCCUGGGCGGUGCUGCCUCACCAGCAGCGGCAGGGUCCGGUACAGCAGCGUCCUGGCGGCGGUGCUGUCGGUGAAGCGCAGCGACCUGCCGGCGGAGCGUGUUGAGCCUCGGGGCGCGCCCGUUCUGCUGGAUGCGCAGGCUGACGCUGAUCUGGUUGCGCAGCUGCAGGUACACGGAGAGGCUGACCGCCCAUGCCAGGUACACUGGCAGCUGGAAGCAGGGGUCGGCGUUCUGCACGCGGUUGGUGAAGUAGGCCGCGAUGCCGAUGGGCUGCUCCCGGUUGGUGCAGAAGUGGUUGGUGCCGUAGGGGUACAGGUUGGGGAAGGCGGCCGGCUCCAGGUCAGGGUGAGCAUGGAUGCUGAGCACUCCACCGGUGCGGGUGGUGAUGGUUGUGGCCAUGGUCCGCUCCUCCCGCGCCCGAGCGGCCCGCCCUGCCCGGGUUGUUGCGGUGUGGAGCGCGUCGCGCGGCAGCACCGGGUUGGCGUCCGCCAUCACAACGUCUACUGGCGGCAGCGGCGGCUCCGGGGCCACUGUGGCUCGCGCGUCUGCGCCGCCACCGCUGGCGUCCUCCUCACCAUCGCCCACAUUCCCAGCCGCAACUGCGCCGCGAUGGAGUGCAGCGCCGACGAUGGCGCCAGCAACCGCAGCGGCCGCGCCUUGUGCACCGGCGGUGGCAAUGAGCCGGUCCAGCCGCAUUGCGUUGGCCGGCUCAAGGCCCGCCGCUGCCGGAGCGUUGCCGCCGGCGCGCUGCUGCGCCACGCCGCCAGAUGUCCCUGGCACGGUGCCGGGAGAUGGCUCGAGGCCUGCCGGGCUGUCGUGGGGCACAGCGACCUGGUGGUUGUGAGCGCAGCCGCGGCUGCAGUCGGGCCGCGGCCCAAACAGCCUUAGCUCCGGCGGCAGCGCGCGGCCCGCGGCUUGCCGCGGCUCGUCGGCAUCGCUGUCGACGCCAUCGUCCUCAAGCCCGGGCAGCUCGGCGACGUCCGCGGGGACCGCCCGUGCCACGGGGGCGUCAGCCAGCCCGGCAGGUGCUGCUACCGCAUCCAAGCCAGCUCCAGACGCCAGCCGGCGCAAACGGCGGCGAGCUGGCGCCCUCAGAGCCCCACUGGGCUGCUCCACAGCUGGUGCCAGCGGUGAGUGUGCUGGUGCGAGUGCGCCAUUGCUCUCGCCAGCAUCCGCAUCCGCAUCUGCAUCACCAGCUGCCCUGUUGCCCGCGUCCUCAGCGGCCCGCCUACACGCCCGCAACGCCGCCACUCGCCCUCGCACAAGUCUCGGAGCUGCGGCGGCAGCUCCUGUACCGCCAGGCUGUUCGCCACGCAGGUUUUGGGCAUCUGACCGCGCUUGAGGGCUUCGAGGCAGGCACAGCACAGCUUAUAGCUUGUGCGCUGUGUGCCAUCGUCAGCUGCGGCCUGUCCGCCAGCACCCGCCGCCGCCGCCUGGCCGUGUGGCCCGUGGCGGCCACGGCCACGGCUGCGGCCACCAGUGCAGCCACCAGUGCGGCCGCGAAGGGCAGCCCGGCGCGGCCGCUGCUGCAUGGGCUCAGCUGCCGGUGGGGCCUCCUCCGCCUCCAGCUCCGCCUCCAACCCGACGCCGCCGCCCGCGUCAGCCUCGGCGCCAACAGGGUCAGCGUCCACCGCGCCGUCAGCUGCGUAAGCACCAACGCCGCGCUCCAGCUCGUCUAGCUCGUCCCGGUCACGGUCGGUGCCGAGGUCGCCGGCACCGCGCAGAAGCCGAAACAGCGUGGAGCAUGCGACCUGCAGUGGCAGGGGCGGGGGAGUGAGGUGAGAGCAUGCGGUAACCCACGAGCGUAGCAUGUAGCAUUUACGCGCAGCUGCAGUGUCUUGAAGUAAGGAUGAGGACAUGCUCCAACUGUCCAUGCACAACAUGGCUGAGUGCAUACAUGCCGCAUCCCCCACCAUGAGCACAGGGCCAACUUCACACCGCUUCCUAGUUGUGUAUGUAGCCAUUCCAGCUUUCAAGGACACCCGGCAGCGACCUGGUUGAGUAGCCCUGGCGUGCUCACCGGGUGCUCCGUGACCGUGACACCGGCCCUGUAGAAGCAGCGGUUGCAGCACUCGCAGACGUGGUCGCACGACUCCUCGAAUCUGCGCUUGAUGGCCGGACCCCGCUCCGUGCUGGCUGUGAAGCGCUGUCGUGCACGGCGCUGCCGGCGUGCGUCUGCUUCCCCCGCCCGCUGCUCCUCGUCCAUGCCCUCCCGCCGCGCCGCCUCAGCGGCGGCCCGCGCGUCCCGGCGCUCCUGCUGCUGCUGGGCGGGCAUCACUGCAACACGCGCCGCCUCUGCUGCGGCUUGCGCGGCGCGGUACUGCGCCCGCUGCUCCUCAUCCAUGCCCUCCCGCCGCUCCGCCUCUGCUGCGGCUUGCGCGGCGCGGUACUGCGCCCGCUGCUCCUCAUCCAUGCCCUCCCGCCGCUCCGCCUCUGCUGCGGCUUGCGCGGCGCGGUACUGCGCCCGCUGCUCCCCGUCCAUGCCCUCCCGCCGCUCUGCCUCUGCUGCGGCUUGCGCGGCGCGGUACUGCGCCCGCUGCUCCUCGUCCAUGCCCUCCCGCCGCUCCGCCUCUGCUGCGGCUUGCGCGGCGCGGUACUGCGCCCGCUGCUCCCCGUCCAUGCCCUCCCGCCGCUCUGCCUCUGCUGCGGCUUGCGCGGCGCGGUACUGCGCCUGCUGCUCCUCGUCCAUGCCCUCCCGCCGCUCUGCCUCUGCUGCGGCUUGCGCGGCGCGGUACUGCGCCCGCUGCUCCUCGUCCAUGCCCUCCCGCCGCUCCGCCUCUGCUGCGGCAUGUGCAGCCAGGUGCUGCCGUUGCUGCACUGCGUUCAUGCCUGCCUGCCGGCGGCGCCGCUGCACAGCAUCCCGUUCUCGCUCGUCCGUGCCCAAGCUGCGGCGGCGUUUGCGAGGUGGCUCCACAGCACCAGGAUCAGCCAGCGGGGCCGUGCCAGCCCUGCCAUGCGUGCGCCCGCGCCCCCGCCCGUGCCCCCUGCCCCUGCCCCGCCCACGCCCACGCUGCACUGGUGGCUCCAGUGGAAACGGUGGGAGCGCAAAGUCCUCGUCAGCUGCAUCUGGGGGCGUCGCAGUGAUGACUGCUGGUGCUAGCGCUCCUGUACAUAGGGGCAAAUUCCGCAACCGGCGACAUUGAACAUCAGACUUUGAAUUUAGCUGGUUUGGACCGCGGUGUCAACCCAUUAAUCUGAAAGCUCGCCCGACACCACAGUAGGGUCCGGGCACAGUCCUUGCUUGCCAACCCUACCUGCCGCCGAACCGCUUGCUGCAGCUGGCGCGGCUCCUACAGCAACGGGACGGGCAGCUCCGCUGACAGCGCCUGCCAACGCAAAGGCGAGGAGGCCAGCGCCCACCAGCUGCUGUGGGUCGGGGACGGCACCAUUGCCGCCUGGAAGGCAGAAGAGAGAAACGGCGGUGUAAGCGUGGGCGCCUCCUCCCAGGCCCCAUUCCUGGUACAUGGCACUCACCGUGGGGGUCGGCAUGGGCAGCCGGCUGAUGUGGGUCAGGGUUGGCAGGCGGUGCCGUCAUUACUGCAGGGUCAAGCGGUGAGAUUCAGUUAAGCUUAAGCGGUGCAAGCGCCCAGCCCAAACGCCCCAUACAUGCGCCAGCCUCAUACCUUGUGUCCCAGAGCACAGCCGCCGACGUAGCACGGGGUCGUUUGCAAGGCCGGCAGCAGCAGCUGCAGCGGGCGCCGCGUGAGUGCGAGCGCGCAGCAUGGACAGGGCGUUGUAGGUGGCCGAGAUGACCACCGCUGCCUCCAUGAGCGGGCCCGUGCUCCUCGCCGCUGCUCCCAGGGGCGGUGUCGGUGCCCGUGACACCCAGCCGCUCCACAAAUGGAGGGGGCGGCGGCGGCGGGCCCGCUGGUGGCGGCGGUGGCGGGCCUGCUGCAGGUCAGCGCAAGUCGGCGCAAGAGGGCGAGAAGUUUUGCGCGCGCUACCCACCUGCGCAAACUGGCGCGCACGCAUCCGCCGUCGGCGCAGCAGCUGCAUGUUGCUGAGCGUAUGGCCAGAAUGGAUUGAGCGCUGGGUCGUCGUGCACGAGCGCCGACAGACCGCGCCCUAAGCCCCGGCCGCCGCGACCGCGGACCCGGCCGCGAUUGCCACCCCGCGCAGGGCUGUUGGUCAUUACGGCAUUUUGGGGAAAUCUUUGUCAGAAAUAGCAGCGCUGCAGCAGGCUCUGUUUGGUGAAGGUGACUGGUGAAGGCAAAUGCGCGGCAUACCCUUGCCCGGGUUUCCCGCCGCUCUGCUCCCCCUGCAUGCGCCCAGAAUUGCACCCGCCCAUCCCGCCCAUCCCGCCCACCACUCUUCCCACUCUUUGCUUCCUGCGCGAAGCCCAAAUGGCCCCGACUGUGGUGCUCACCGUGCCGCUCACCAUGCUCCACGGGUGACUCCGGUCGCGUGGCUGACUCCUGGACGCGUUGACUCCACGCGGUGAACACCAGCUUCUUAAGCUUGUUGUUGACGUGUUGAGUGAUUGAUUUGGUUGCAUAAAGACUCGCGCCCACGGAGCAACACCAACCCUUGCACCGCGUUGUGGCCCUCAGCCUACAACGGCACCAUCCCUCGCUGCGCCCAUGGACCAUGCUCACAGCCCGCCCUGACGUCCGACCCAUGGGAUGCCAGUUGCCGGGCGACUUGCAGCGCAUCUAUGAGGCUUUGGGCCAUCUCCCGCCUGUGAGAGCGGUGAGGACGCCGCCACCAGCGCCAGGUGAUUGGUGCUGGGCAGCACCAUUGUGGGGCAAGCCGCUCCUUCCUGAGGGUGACCUCACCCGACGGCCUGGCCUUGAGGCGCACCAAACACGCCUCACGGCGUGUCGCCCCCUGCGCAUGUAGGUGACUUGGUGCAAGCACUGACAGCGGCGGCAGCAUGGCGCGCAACACGGCCAGUGGGAGCGACUGGGGGUGUGGCAUGGGAGGAAUGGGUGCGGCAGCACCUUGACCCGGAGACACAGCUACACGAGCAGCCGGCGCUCGAGGGCCUGAAGUAGCCUUGCAGCAGACAUACCAGAGGCCUGGCUGGCAGCAGCACGUGCAGUACAGGAACGGCUCCAGGCUGGGUUGGGCCCCGCCCCGCCCUUGGAGUCGGCAGUGGUUCGGCUGAUCAUGCCUUGCCUUGGCUGGAGGGUACCUGGCAUGCAGCAACCCCUGGUGCUGGAGAAACUGUCUGUACGUGUUGCUACCGUCAUGCAGCUGGGAGACAUCGGGGUAGCCCGCAGUCAAUUGCACACGGCUUAUGCAGCUGAGGCGCGCGAGACACCACCAGCAGCCGCCCCACAACGCUGGAUUCCCCCCUUCGACAGGCUUUGUUGGAUACGCUGGGAGAACGCCCACAAGGAGACAGCUUGGCGGGUGUCAAUCGACAGCAUUGGCAUUGCCGGUAACACGCAUCUCACACAUGCACCUGGUCUGGCGCCGUGUGGAUGCGGUGUGACGCCAACCGACAGCCCCAGGCUACACACGUUUUGGCAGUGCGCAGAAGCUCAGGCGGUUGUGCAGCAGCUCGCAGCGCAGCUUGCGGCCCCGCCCACCAGGGAGCAGGUGUGGUUGUUUGAGGCCCCGACUGGCGUGCAACAAGCAGUGUGGGAUGUGGUGGCUAUGGCGGCGUUAGCGGCCAUGGAGAGGAGGAGGUGCGUGCUGUACGCCGCAAGCCGCCGUGGCCUAGCCAACGCUGCUGCAAUAACCUCUAGAGGGCCAGUUGCCGCAGCAGCAGCAGACGCAGCAACAGCUGCAAAAACAGGCUUCAACACAGACGGACACCCAACAAGUGAUUGACACGGCAGUGAUCGACUUGUGGGGUUGCUUAAAAUCCUUCACAGCACUGGGAGUGCUGCGGAAGGGCUGGGAUCAAGUGGGCGCACAGAAUCCUUUCUUGAGCGUAGUAAACGGCCAGUUGCGCUGUCAUGCAGGUAUGAACACGGAACAACCCGCUCAGGCCAUCACGGACAGGGACAAGGACAAAGCACGGUUCGGCAGGUGCAAGGGGGUGGGCUAGAGAGGGUCAGGCUUCCUGUUUUUGUUUUAUGUUUGUGGUUGGGCUGGGGGGGUUCGCCAGGGCCAGCAAUGCAGGGUGUGGUUUCCGCCAGGGAGCGGCCCAGUCUGGUCCUUUUGAGGGGGCUUGGUAAGCUUGCUUUAUGCGCCCUAAGCACCUUGCAUUCCCUCUGUUGUGCCACGGGUGGCUUUUGUGGCGGGGCGGCCUGGUGUGUGUUUCUGGCCUUGGCGGGCGGUGUUUUCCUGGCAUGUGUUUUGGUCUGGUGUGUACGUGUGGUGUGGUGUGAAGGAGGCAGUUGUGUCUGCCCCUCUGAGGCUCCACCCUAGCGUGCUGGCUGCUGUGCUUUCUUUUGGUGGAGAAGGCAUGAGCCUUGUGUCUCCGUGUCUCUUUAGUCUUGACCAGGACUGGGGCCUUAUUGCCUGCUGUGUCGGGCGUGCUUAGGGGUGAGCGUGUGGAACGCGCUCACCCAACACUAGGGCUUGUCAGCCCUAGUCAUCAGUGGCUUCGCCACUACCAAGUGUAAUUAUUCUCCCUCUCCCUCCCUCCCCUCCCUCCCCUCCCACCUACCUGCUCGAGUAGGGGGAUUCGGCACUGUGCUCCAGCCUUAGUCGGCACUGCAUUGGAGCUGCCGCUCUUGGUCUGCUCUUCAGUUCGGAAUGUGAACUAUACGAUUGCUUGUAUGUAGGCGCAGGAUGACGAGCCAUCAGCGAGUAAAGUUCACCGUAAAGUUCAAAUGUAAGAGUUAAACUAGUUUUUGACAGCAGGAGUAGCUAAGACUUAUAAGAUCCAUAUAACGUCAACUUUUGCAUGUGCCCCCACAGUGCCCCAAAGCCCUGAAAGCUCGAUUGCCCCCGAUUGCCGAAAAACACUGCACCGCCUGUUUCCGGGGGUUUAUUCACUUUGAACUUGAACGCUGAUUACUUGAAAAGUCAGCUGUGGCUGUCGCUGUGCGCUCGCACUGCAUGGCCUUCAACAUCAUCAAUCCGCCUGAUUUCCUGAACUAAUCCUAUUGUAUUGCCUUAUACCUAUAUUUUGAAGCCGUCGGCGUCCUCAAAAACUGCCUAUAACAAAAAACGUUGUUUGCUCUCACCACCAGGGGC